GACGAACGCUGGCGGCGUGCUUAACACAUGCAAGUCGAACGAGAAUCUGCUGAAGGAGGAUUCGUCCAACGGAAGCAGAGGAAAGUGGCGGACGGGUGAGUAACGCGUGAGGAACCUGCCUUGAAGAGGGGACGAACAGUUGGAACGACUGCUAAUACCGCAUGACGCAUAGAGGUCGCAUGAUCUUUAUGCCAAAGAUUUAUCGCUUCAAGAUGGCCUCGCGUCUGAUUAGCUGGUUGGCGGGGUAACGGCCCACCAAGGCGACGAUCAGUAGCCGGACUGAGAGGUUGAACGGCCACAUUGGGACUGAGAUACGGCCCAGACUCCUACGGGAGGCUG
Molecule: ribosomal RNA, 339 nt
Filed under: uncultured Bacillota bacterium
Lineage: Bacteria; Bacillati; Bacillota
Description: bacterial SSU rRNA
Rfam family: Bacterial small subunit ribosomal RNA
Source: RNAcentral